RNAcentral lists this ribosomal RNA (459 nucleotides) under uncultured bacterium. Its description in RNAcentral is "partial 16S ribosomal RNA". It matches the Rfam family "Bacterial small subunit ribosomal RNA", at positions 338 to 795 of the family's 1533-position model. The record is from RNAcentral.
CCUACGGGUGGCAGCAGUGAGGAAUAUUGGUCAAUGGGCGUAAGCCUGAACCAGCCAAGUCGCGUGAGGGAUGAAGGUUCUAUGGAUCGUAAACCUCUUUUAUAAGGGAAUAAAGUGCGGGACGUGUCCCGUUUUGUAUGUACCUUAUGAAUAAGGAUCGGCUAACUCCGUGCCAGCAGCCGCGGUAAUACGGAGGAUCCGAGCGUUAUCCGGAUUUAUUGGGUUUAAAGGGUGCGUAGGCGGCCUUUUAAGUCAGCGGUGAAAGUCUGUGGCUCAACCCGGGCCGGCCGUUGAAACUGGGGAUCUUGAGUGGGCGAGAAGUAUGCGGAAUGCGUGGUGUAGCGGUGAAAUGCAUAGAUAUCACGCAGAACUCCGAUUGCGAAGGCAGCAUACCGGCGCCCGACUGACGCUGAGGCACGAAAGCGUGGGGAUCGAACAGGAUUAGAUACCCCUGUAGUC